RNAcentral lists this ribosomal RNA (342 nucleotides) under Porphyromonas gingivalis. RNAcentral describes it as "bacterial SSU rRNA". It matches the Rfam family "Bacterial small subunit ribosomal RNA", at positions 280 to 619 of the family's 1533-position model. The record is from RNAcentral. Lineage: Bacteria; Pseudomonadati; Bacteroidota; Bacteroidia; Bacteroidales; Porphyromonadaceae.
UGGGUAGGGGAACUGAGAGGUUUAUCCGCCACACUGGUACUGAGACACGGACCAGACUCCUACGGGAGGCAGCAGUGAGGAAUAUUGGUCAAUGGGCGAGGGCCUGAACCAGCCAAGUAGCGUGAAGGAAGACAGUCCUAAGGAUUGUAAACUUCUUAUAUACGGGAAUAACGGGCGAUACGAGUAAUGCAUUGAAUGUACCGUAAGAAUAAGCAUCGGCUAACUCCGUGCCAGCAGCCGCGGUAAUACGGAGGAUGCGAGCGUUAUCCGGAUUUAUUGGGUUUAAAGGGUGCGUAGGUUGUUCGGUAAGUCAGCGGUGAAACCUGAGCGCUCAACGUUCAG